RNAcentral lists this ribosomal RNA (447 nucleotides) under uncultured bacterium. Its description in RNAcentral is "bacterial SSU rRNA". It matches the Rfam family "Bacterial small subunit ribosomal RNA", at positions 335 to 774 of the family's 1533-position model. The record is from RNAcentral.
ACUCCUACGGGAGGCAGCAGUGGGGAAUAUUGCGCAAUGGGCGAAAGCCUGACGCAGCAACGCCGCGUGGAUGAAGAAGGGUUUCGGCUCGUAAAGUCCUGUCCUGAAGGACGAAAGUACCAAGGUUAAUAUCCUUGGGAGAUGACGGUACUUCAGAAGAAAGCACCGGCUAACUCCGUGCCAGCAGCCGCGGUAAUACGGAGGGUGCAAGCGUUGUUCGGAAUCAUUGGGCGUAAAGAGGGUGUAGGCGGCUACGUGUGUCUGGUGUGAAAGCCCGGGGCUUAACUCCGGAAGUGCACUGGAAACUGCGUAGCUUGAAUCUCGGAGAGGGUGGUAGAAUUCCUGGUGUAGAGGUGAAAUUCGUAGAUAUCAGGAGGAAUACCGGUGGCGAAGGCGACCACCUGGACGAUGAUUGACGCUGAGACCCGAAAGCGUGGGGAGCAAACA